CAGCCGCCGCGGUAAUACGUAGGGUGCGAGCGUUAAUCGGAUUUACUGGGCGUAAAGCGUGCGCAGGCGGCCCGUUAAGACAGGUGUGAAAUCCCUGGGCUCAACCUAGGAAUUGCGCUUGUGACUGGCGGGCUCGAGUACGGUAGAGGGGGGUGGAAUUCCUGGUGUAGCAGUGAAAUGCGUAGAGAUCAGGAGGAACACCGAUGGCGAAGGCAGCCCCCUGGGCCUGUACUGACGCUCAUGCACGAAAGCGUGGGGAGCAAACAGGAUUAGAUACCCUGGUAGUCCACGCCCUAAACGAUGGGUACUAGCCGUUUGGUGCGCGAUAGUGCUGAGUGGCGAAGCUAACGCGUGAAGUACCCCGCCUGGGGAGUACGGCCGCAAGGUUGAAACUUAAAGGAAUUGGCGGG
This 410-nucleotide ribosomal RNA is filed under the name uncultured microorganism. Its description in RNAcentral is "bacterial SSU rRNA". It matches the Rfam family "Bacterial small subunit ribosomal RNA", at positions 509 to 917 of the family's 1533-position model. The record is from RNAcentral.